This is a long non-coding RNA of Lethenteron reissneri (Far Eastern brook lamprey), 229 nucleotides long. RefSeq lists it as uncharacterized. NCBI's taxonomy places the organism in Eukaryota, Metazoa, Chordata, Hyperoartia, Petromyzontiformes, Petromyzontidae. The record is from RefSeq and is a predicted model, not a curated record.
GCAAGAUACUCACUGAGAGCCUGCUGCGUUGCCCCGCUGAGCAAUGGAACCCUGACCCACCGCAACACGACGACAUGGAGACAGAAGCCACGGGAUCGGAGUCAACUGUAGCUGUUGUGACGGCUGUAGCCACAGUGCUAUCUGUGGCUGUGAAAACUGUCAGUGCGGAGGUGAUAGAAGACAUUUUGGAGUCGGCUAUCAUUCUACAUGCCCUGUUGCCACUUUUCAC